This 497-nucleotide ribosomal RNA is filed under the name uncultured bacterium. Its description in RNAcentral is "partial 16S ribosomal RNA". It matches the Rfam family "Bacterial small subunit ribosomal RNA", at positions 28 to 507 of the family's 1533-position model. The record is from RNAcentral.
GAUGAACGCUGGCGGCGUGCCUAAUACAUGCGAGUCGAGCGAACAGACGAGGAGCUUGCUCCUCUGACGUUAGCGGCGGACGGGUGAGUAACACGUGGAUAACCUACCUAUAAGACUGGGAUAACUUCGGGAAACCGGAGCUAAUACCGGAUAAUAUAUUGAACCGCAUGGUUCAAUAGUGAAAGACGGUUUUGCUGUCACUUAUAGAUGGAUCCGCGCCGCAUUAGCUAGUUGGUAAGGUAACGGCUUACCAAGGCAACGAUGCGUAGCCGACCUGAGAGGGGGAUCGGCCACACUGGAGCUGAGACACGGUCCAGACUCCUACGGGAGGCAGCAGUAGGGAAUCUUCCGCAAUGGGCGAAAGCCUGACGGAGCAACGCCGCGUGAGUGAUGAAGGUCUUCGGAUCGUAAAACUCUGUUAUUAGGGAAGAACAAAUGUGUAAGUAACUAUGCACGUCUUGACGGUACCUAAUCAGAAAGCCACGGCUAACUACGUG